Molecule: ribosomal RNA, 477 nt
Filed under: uncultured bacterium
Lineage: Bacteria
Description: bacterial SSU rRNA
Rfam family: Bacterial small subunit ribosomal RNA
Source: RNAcentral
CACGGCCUAGCACAUGCAAGUCGAACGGUCAGUAGCAAUACUAAUAGUGGCGCACGGGUGCGUAACACGUAACUAACCUGCCCACAACUGGGGGAUAGCCCGCCGAAAGGCGGAUUAAUACCGCAUAAGGCUUGAGACUGGCAUCAGUUUUUAGUUAAAGAUUUAUUGGUUGUGGAUGGGGUUGCGGGUCAUUAGCUAGUUGGUAAGGUAACGGCUUACCAAGGCGACGAUGACUAGGGGAGCUGAGAGGCUGGUCCCCCACACGGGCACUGAGAUACGGGCCCGACUCCUACGGGAGGCAGCAGUAGGGAAUAUUGGGCAAUGGGCGAGAGCCUGACCCAGCCAUGCCGCGUGCAGGACGAAGGCUUUCUGAGUCGUAAACUGCUUUUGACAGGGAAGAAUAAGCUGAACGUGUUCAGUGAUGACGGUACCUGCAGAAUAAGCACCGGCUAACUCCGUGCCAGCAGCCGCGGUAAU